Molecule: long non-coding RNA, 2173 nt
Filed under: Nicotiana benthamiana
Lineage: Eukaryota; Viridiplantae; Streptophyta; Magnoliopsida; Solanales; Solanaceae
Description: long non-coding RNA (NBEN_LNC037183)
Source: RNAcentral
UCCGAAGCAUGGAUACUUGAACAACCGAAUGCACGGCUGACAAGCUAGGUGGUAAGGAAAGUCUAUAAGCCACCUUUCCCAUGUGAUCGAGAAUCUCAAAUGGGCCAAUAAACCUAGGGCUAAGCUUGCCCUUCUUUCUGAAUCUCAUAAUGCCCUUCAUAGGCGAUACAUGAAGCAAUACUCGCUCACCAACCAUGAAAGCAACAUCCCUGACCAUGUGAUCUGCAUAACUCUUCAGCCUAGACAGAGCUGACCGAAGUCUGUCCUGAAUGAUCUUGACCUUAUCCAAGGCCUUCUAUACUAGAUCUGUACGCAUUACCGUGCCUCUCCCGGCUCAAAACAUCUGACUGGGGACCGACACCGCUACCAUACAACGCCUCAUACAGAGCCAUCUGAAUGCUGGAUUGGUAGUUGUUGUUGCAGGCAAACACCACUAUAGGCAAGAACUAGUCCAGGAGCCUUUAAAAUCAAUAACAUAGGCUCGGAGCAUAUCCUCAAGAAUCUGAAUUGUCCUCUCGGACUGGCCAUCUGUCUAGGGGUGAAAUGUUGUACUCAACUUAACUUGGGUGCACCAACUCCUGCUGCACCGCUCUCCAGAAAUGUGAGGUAAGCUAUAAACCCCGGUCCGAAAUAAUAGAAAUAGGCACCCUGUGAAGGCAAACAAUCUCCCUGAUAUAAAUCUCAGCAUAUCGGAAGAAUAUGUGGUGGCAAUUGGAAUAAAAUGCGUUGACUUGGUUAGCCUAUCAACAAUAACCAAUAUAGCAUCAAACUUCUUCCUAGUCAUCCGAAGGCCAGUAACAAAAUCCAUGGUAAUUCUCUCCCACUUCCACUCGGGAAGCUCAAUCCUCUAAAAUAAACCAUCGGGCCUAUGAUGCGCAUACUUAACCUGCUCUUAAUUCAGACAACGAGCCACAUAUGCAAUAAUGUAUUUCUUCAUUCUAUGCCGCCAAUAAUGUUACCUCAAAUCCCCAUACAUCUUCACGGUGCCCGGGUGAAUAGAAUACCGAGAACUGUGGGCCUCUACUAAGAUCGACUCCCGAAUACCAUAAACAUUUGGCACACAAAGUCGCCCCUGCAAUCUAAAUACACCAUCAUCUCCCAAGGUCAUUUUCUUGGCACCUUCCCGGUGUACCGUGUCUCUCAGGGCACACAAAUGGGAAUCAUCAAACUGCCGCUCCUGAAUGCACUCUAUCAACAACGAACGAGCAACCGUGCAAGCCAACACCCUGCUGGGCUCAAAAAUAUCCAAUCUCACAAAUCGAUUGGCCAAGGCCUGAACAUCCAAAGCAAGCGAUCUCUGGUUGACCGGAAUAUAGGCAAGACUACCCAUGCUGGCAGACUUCCUACUCAAUGCAUCGCCCACCACAUUGGCCUUCCCCGGGUGGUAUAAGAUAAAAACAUCAUAGUCUUUCAACAACUCCAACUACCUCCGCUGUCUCAAAUUCAACUCUUUCUUCUUGAAAAAUUACUGAAGGCUCUUAUGAUCCGCGUACACCUCAUACGUCACCCCAUAUAAAUAAUUCCUCUAGAUAUUUAAGGCAUGAACAAUGGCUGCCAACUCUAGGUCAUGCCACCACGUUGGCCUUCCCCGGGUGGUAUAAUAUAGAAACAUCAUAGUAUUUUAACACUCCAACUACCUCCGCUGCCUCAAAUUUAACUCCUUCUGUUUGAAAAAGUACUGAAAGCUCUUGUGAUCCGUGUACAGCUCACACAUCACACCUGUCGACGCCCCCUUUUUCCCUCCAAAAAGAAGCAAAAUCGGGUAUACAACAUUAUGGACAAAACAACUCUUAUUCUCUUUUGGGAAUUGGAUUAUGGAGUUUGAAGAGUCGCCAACUAAUGAUUAUAGUGCAUUAGGAUACUUUUAAGAAGAUUUUGAAUUAAAAUAAGAGUUCGGAUAAGGGCUUGAAAUUAUCUCUAUGGGAAGGUGUUAGCCACCCCUCAAGAUCCACUAGUGUGGUUCCCGACCUAGCUUAGAUGUGACUUUAAGAAGCAUAGGAAUAGACAAGCAAAUGUGCAAGGAAUACAAAACUAAUGGGCAAAUAUUUUUGAAAGAAGGAUAGUAUAAGUAAAGGGAAAUUUUAGAGAAAGUACUUAGACAAAAGUAAAGGUAAGGGGGGCCUAGGUUUAACAAUAAUAUGGAUCAUUUGAUAUAAUAUCCCUCACAUAUUCG